GAUGAAGAACGUAGCGAAAUGCGAUAAGUAAUGUGAAUUGCAGAAUUCCGUGAAUCAUCGAAUCUUUGAACGCACAUUGCGCCCCCUGGCAUUCCGGGGGGCAUGCCUGUCCGAACGUCAUUUCUGCCCUCAAGCACGGCUUGUGUGUUGGGUGUGGUCCCCCCGGGGACCUGCCCGAAAGGCAGCGGCGACGUCCGUCUGGUCCUCGAGCGUAUGGGGCUCUGUCACUCGCUCGGGAAGGACCUGCGGGGGUUGGUCACCACUAUAUUUUACCACGGUUGACCUCGGAUCAGGUAGGAGUUACCCGCUGAACUUAAGCAUAUCAAUAAGCGGAGGA
This 337-nucleotide unclassified non-coding RNA is filed under the name soil metagenome. RNAcentral's name for it is "partial contains 5.8S ribosomal RNA, internal transcribed spacer 2, and large subunit ribosomal RNA". The stretch from base 1 to 120 matches the Rfam family "5.8S ribosomal RNA", at positions 35 to 154 of the family's 154-position model. The record is from RNAcentral.